RNAcentral lists this unclassified non-coding RNA (337 nucleotides) under soil metagenome. RNAcentral's name for it is "partial contains 5.8S ribosomal RNA, internal transcribed spacer 2, and large subunit ribosomal RNA". The stretch from base 1 to 120 matches the Rfam family "5.8S ribosomal RNA", at positions 35 to 154 of the family's 154-position model. The record is from RNAcentral.
GAUGAAGAACGUAGCGAAAUGCGAUAAGUAAUGUGAAUUGCAGAAUUCAGUGAAUCAUCGAAUCUUUGAACGCACAUUGCGCCCCUUGGUAUUCCGAGGGGCAUGCCUGUUCGAGCGUCAUUACACCACUCAAGCUAUGCUUGGUAUUGGGCGUCGUCCUUAGUUGGGCGCGCCUUAAAGACCUCGGCGAGGCCACUCCGGCUUUAGGCGUAGUAGAAUUUAUUCGAACGUCUGUCAAAGGAGAGGAACUCUGCCGACUGAAACCUUUAUUUUUCUAGGUUGACCUCGGAUCAGGUAGGGAUACCCGCUGAACUUAAGCAUAUCAAUAAGCGGAGGA